AUUGAACGCUGGCGGCAGGCCUAACACAUGCAAGUCGAACGAGUGGCGGACGGGUGAGUAAUGUCUGGGAAACUGCCUGAUGGAGGGGGAUAACUACUGGGAACGGUAGCUAAUACCGCAUCCCAUCGGAUGUGCCCAGAUGGGCUUAGCUUGUUGGUGGGGUAACGGCUCACCAAGGCGACGAUACCUAGCUGGUCUGAGAGGCUGACCAGCCAAACUGGAAUUGAGCACGGGUCCAGACUCCUACGGGAGGAAGAAGUGGGAAAUAUUGCAAAAUGGGCGCAAGCGUGAUGCAGCCAUGCCGCGGGUAUGAAGCAGGCCUUCGGGUUGUAAAGUACUUUCAGCGGGGAGGCGUUACCCGCAGAAGAAGCACCGGCUAACUCCGUGCCAGCAGCCGCGGUAAUUC
Molecule: ribosomal RNA, 406 nt
Filed under: uncultured bacterium
Lineage: Bacteria
Description: partial 16S ribosomal RNA
Rfam family: Bacterial small subunit ribosomal RNA
Source: RNAcentral